RNAcentral lists this ribosomal RNA (784 nucleotides) under Bacillus sp. T4AL(2010). RNAcentral's name for it is "bacterial SSU rRNA". It matches the Rfam family "Bacterial small subunit ribosomal RNA", at positions 15 to 779 of the family's 1533-position model. Lineage: Bacteria; Bacillati; Bacillota; Bacilli; Caryophanales; Bacillaceae. The record is from RNAcentral.
UAUCAUGGCUCAGGAUGAACGCUGGCGGCGUGCCUAAUACAUGCAAGUCGAGCGAAUGGAUUGAGAGCUUGCUCUCAAGAAGUUAGCGGCGGACGGGUGAGUAACACGUGGGUAACCUGCCCAUAAGACUGGGAUAACUCCGGGAAACCGGGGCUAAUACCGGAUAACAUUUUGAACCGCAUGGUUCGAAAUUGAAAGGCGGCUUCGGCUGUCACUUAUGGAUGGACCCGCGUCGCAUUAGCUAGUUGGUGAGGUAACGGCUCACCAAGGCAACGAUGCGUAGCCGACCUGAGAGGGUGAUCGGCCACACUGGGACUGAGACACGGCCCAGACUCCUACGGGAGGCAGCAGUAGGGAAUCUUCCGCAAUGGACGAAAGUCUGACGGAGCAACGCCGCGUGAGUGAUGAAGGCUUUCGGGUCGUAAAACUCUGUUGUUAGGGAAGAACAAGUGCUAGUUGAAUAAGCUGGCACCUUGACGGUACCUAACCAGAAAGCCACGGCUAACUACGUGCCAGCAGCCGCGGUAAUACGUAGGUGGCAAGCGUUAUCCGGAAUUAUUGGGCGUAAAGCGCGCGCAGGUGGUUUCUUAAGUCUGAUGUGAAAGCCCACGGCUCAACCGUGGAGGGUCAUUGGAAACUGGGAGACUUGAGUGCAGAAGAGGAAAGUGGAAUUCCAUGUGUAGCGGUGAAAUGCGUAGAGAUAUGGAGGAACACCAGUGGCGAAGGCGACUUUCUGGUCUGUAACUGACACUGAGGCGCGAAAGCGUGGGGAGCAAACAGGAUU